AUACUUACCUGGCAUGGGAGACACCUUGAUUACGAAAGAGGUUCACCCAGGGCGAGGCGAAGCGAGGCCAUUGCACACAGGCCAUGCUGACCCCGGUGAAUUCCCCAAAUGUGGGAAUCUCGACUUCAUAAUUUGUGGUAGUGGGAAACUGCGUCCAACCUCUACCCU
Small nuclear RNA from Coregonus clupeaformis (lake whitefish), 168 nucleotides. RefSeq annotates it as U1 spliceosomal RNA. Lineage: Eukaryota; Metazoa; Chordata; Actinopteri; Salmoniformes; Salmonidae. The record is from RefSeq and is a predicted model, not a curated record. The transcript has a single exon.